This 517-nucleotide long non-coding RNA is filed under the name Cricetulus griseus (Chinese hamster). RNAcentral's name for it is "lncRNA (ENSCGRG00015034617.1)". The record is from RNAcentral. Lineage: Eukaryota; Metazoa; Chordata; Mammalia; Rodentia; Cricetidae.
CCUGGCUGGAAUUGGAUCCGGCAAUCCAGAGGCAGCACACAUCUCUCCAGAAGGCUUGUGGUGGAAAUGGACAAAAUUAGUAAACACAGGCUUUCUUCGUGAGCUCCUACGGUGUGCUGGAACGGAUCUCAUCCUACAGCAAUCCAAGACAGGGUGUUAAUGAUAGAGCUCCUGGUGAACCUUGGCGGAUUCCGUGGCAGGACAUCUUCCAGCCCCACUGUGCGGCUGUACAGCAUUAAGUCUACAGAAUUCAGUGUGAAGAGCACACAUUCUCAGUGGAGUGGCGACAUUUCCAAAAUACCUAUUUGGAGCCUUCCUUUGUCACUGCAGAAAGGUCCAUGACUGGGAAUUCGAGGAGCAGCCAGACUAAGAAACCCAGCCCAUUACUGAAUUAUAACGAGUGGAAAAGAAAUACUAAGAAGACAGUGGGUAACUCUAGCACCAGAGGACGCUCAGCAAAAGGCUGAGCAAGUGUCACUGUGGCCUGUGCUUUCCUGGCAUCUUGUUUUGAGGAUAC